This 1134-nucleotide long non-coding RNA is filed under the name Drosophila guanche. Lineage: Eukaryota; Metazoa; Arthropoda; Insecta; Diptera; Drosophilidae. The record is from RNAcentral.
AGUGGGACAACAGCAAAUCGGCUGGCUCUACACCAAGUGGUUGUCUCACUCGCUGAGCGUAUCUUUCAGUCUGUCUGUGACUAUGUGUGUGUGUGUGUGUGUGCCUGUUUGUGUAUCGUUACCUGUGGCUUCAUUGCUGCUUACCUGCCAUAUCUCUGAAAAACAUAACGAGGCACGCACACACACAGCCGUCAGCCGAACCCAGCGAUGCAGCUGCUCGUCUCUGUGUGUGUUUUGUGUGAGGUGACAUAUAAACUUCCAACCCGAGUCGCAAUUAUCUUAGCCAUUUUCCGCUGAUCAACAGCUAAGCUAAACUCCCAUUUGUAUUAAGCAGUCCAUCCACAAGCUGCAUCGUGAGCAGAGCAGGAAGACUCUCACACCACACGCACACACAGAUGUCGCAGGCUAAUGCAGUUGUUGCCCUGCAGGGAGAAUCGGAGAAUUGAAAACACGCAGAAGAGAAGGCAGAAAAUGAAACAGUUAAGAGACAACAAAAACAUGCGACGAACGCGAGUAAGAGAGGUAGAUAAGAUUACACCUGUGUGUGUGUGUGUGUGUGUGUGAGUGUGUGUCGUGUGUUUUGUUGUAUGUGAUUGGAGUGCUCGCCUCUCGCUGGGAGGGGAGAAUGGGUGAGUGGCGGAGGGUUGGCCAGAGUGCGGGAAAGGGGUGAACAAACCGGUAAUGCAUUUACUCAAAAAAGAAGUCACCUUCAUCACAAAUUCAACGCGUUGCUGCAAAAAAAAACAAAUACAAAACUAUCAGAAAGAGGUGCGACAGCAGGGCUGGUGGGAGAGAGCAAAAGAGAGCAAUAGAUCGACCAUGAUGUUGUUUGCAUACGAAUCUACAUACAUAUGUACAAACAUACAUAUGCACAUACUACAUAUACAUAUGAUGGUCAAAUAACACUUGGAAAUAUUGGAAAACACUUUACGCCACUUUAUCACCAAUAGAAGCUUGUUUUCCGCUCUCGAAACCGAAAUUUGUGGACGAGGAUUAACCGAUAAACACACAUACAAUGUUUAUUAUAUGCAAAUAAUCCACUCGAAAAGCUUCCUGAAAUGGCCGCCAAUUAAUCAACUAGCCAUAAUUCGAUUUGAACGAGGGGUGCAGAUAACAGAAACAACGAAAUAUUCU